AUACAGUGAAACUGCGAAUGGCUCAUUAAAUCAGUUAUCGUUUAUUUGAUAGUACCUUACUACUUGGAUAACCGUGGUAAUUCUAGAGCUAAUACAUGCUAAAAAUCCCGACUUUUUGGAAGGGAUGUAUUUAUUAGAUAAAAGACCAAUGCUUCUUCGGAAGCUCUUUGGUGAUUCAUAAUAACUUUUCGAAUCGCAUGGCCUCGAGCCGGCGAUGGUUCAUUCAAAUUUCUGCCCUAUCAACUUUCGAUGGUAGGAUAGUGGCCUACCAUGGUUUCAACGGGUAACGGGGAAUUAGGGUUCGAUUCCGGAGAGGGAGCCUGAGAAACGGCUACCACAUCCAAGGAAGGCAGCAGGCACGCAAAUUACCCAAUCCCGACACGGGGAGGUAGUGACAAUAAAUAACAAUACAGGGCUUUUUAUGGUCUUGUGAUUGGAAUGAGUACAAUUUAAAUACCUUAACGAGGAACAAUUGGAGGGCAAGUCUGGUGCCAGCAGCCGCGGUAAUUCCAGCUCCAAUAGCGUAUAUUAAAGUUGUUGCAGUUAAAAAGCUCGUAGUUGAACCUUGGGCUUGGUCGGCCGGUCCGCCUCAUUGGUGUGCACUGACCCGACCGAGCCUUUCCUUCUGGAUCACUAUAGUGCUUUUUAUUAAGUGCUAUAGGGAGCCAGGACUUUUACUUUGAAAAAAUUAGAGUGUUCAAAGCAGGCAUACGCUCGAAUAUAUUAGCAUGGAAUAAUAGAAUAGGACGUACGGUUCUAUUUUGUUGGUUCUCUAGGACCGUCGUAAUGAUUAAUAGGGACAGUCGGGGGCAUCAGUAUUCAAUUGUCAGAGGUGAAAUUCUUGGAUUUAUUGAAGACUAACUACUGCGAAAGCAUUUGCCAAGGAUGUUUUCAUUAAUCAAGAACGAAAGUUAGGGGAUCGAAGACGAUCAGAUACCGUCGUAGUCUUAACCAUAAACUAUGCCGACUAGGGAUCGGGCGGUGUUCUUUUUUGACCCGCUCGGCACCUUACGAGAAAUCAAAGUCUUUGGGUUCUGGGGGGAGUAUGGUCGCAAGGCUGAAACUUAAAGGAAUUGACGGAAGGGCACCACCAGGAGUGGAGCCUGCGGCUUAAUUUGACUCAACACGGGGAAACUCACCAGGUCCAGACACAAUAAGGAUUGACAGAUUGAGAGCUCUUUCUUGAUUUUGUGGGUGGUGGUGCAUGGCCGUUCUUAGUUGGUGGAGUGAUUUGUCUGCUUAAUUGC
This 1247-nucleotide ribosomal RNA is filed under the name Lipomyces mesembrius. RNAcentral's name for it is "SSU rRNA". It matches the Rfam family "Eukaryotic small subunit ribosomal RNA", at positions 76 to 1326 of the family's 1831-position model. The record is from RNAcentral. Lineage: Eukaryota; Fungi; Ascomycota; Lipomycetes; Lipomycetales; Lipomycetaceae.